This 490-nucleotide ribosomal RNA is filed under the name uncultured bacterium. RNAcentral describes it as "partial 16S ribosomal RNA". It matches the Rfam family "Bacterial small subunit ribosomal RNA", at positions 29 to 507 of the family's 1533-position model. The record is from RNAcentral.
AAUGAACGCUGGCGGCAUGCCUUACACAUGCAAAUCGAACGGCAGCAUGACCUAGCUUGCUAGGUUGAUGGCGAGUGGCGAACGGGUGAGUAAUGCAUCGGAACGUGCCUUUUAGUGGGGGAUAACGUAGCGAAAGUUACGCUAAUACCGCAUAUUCUCUGAGGAGGAAAGCAUGGGACCUUCGGGCCUUGCGCUAGAAGAGCGGCCGAUGUCGGAUUAGCUAGUUGGUGAGGUAAAGGCUCACCAAGGCAACGAUCCGUAGCGGGUCUGAGAGGAUGAUCGGCAACACUGGGACUGGGACACGGCCCAGACGCCUAAGGGAGGCAGCAGUGGGGAAUGUGGGACAAUGGGCGCAAGCCUGAUCCAGCCAUGCCGCGUGAGUGAAGAAGGCCUUCGGGUUGUAAAGCUCUUUCGGCUGGGAAGAAAUCGCAACCUCUAAUACAGGGUGUGGAUGACGGUACCAGCAUAAGAAGCACCGGCUAACUACGUG